GGCCGUCUCUUUUUCUUCUCCCGGUGCGCACCGCAUCCCCUCCCGCAUCUCGCUUGCAUCGCCACCGCUUGACUCCCCUCCUCCCUCCACCGACGGCCGACGCCGGAUCUCCUUCCUCCGCCGCCAGCGCCGGCUCUGCUUCUCAUCUCCUCCCUCCGGCGCCGGCAGCUGUGGUUGCUGGCUCGCGCGGCGACCGGCAGCUGUGGAUGGCAGGAAUCCAUCCGAGAGAUCAGCGUGUCGUCUUCAACGCGAGGCAGUUGGACGACAACCAAAGCUUGGCCGAUUGCAACAUUACCUAUAAUUCCAUGAUACACUUCGUAUUCGGCAUUCCCUGCUUUUACGCUACCCCGGCAUACGAACAGUUCAACCGCCUUCCCCGGUCAGAGAGCUCGGAUUCGAGUUCGACGAGCAAAGGAGACAGGUCGGAUUCGAGUUCGACGAGCAAAAGAGACAUCGCCCCGGCAAAUGUCAAAACAGUGCACUGCCCAGAUUGCCAGGUCCAAGCUAACGUGUACUACUGCAACACCGAGGAGGAUAACGUAGGCUGUGUGUUCUACAGGUGCCCUUAUUUCUCGGUGAGUGACUUUCCUAUUGUUUUGCUCAUGCUUAUGUUUAUAAUUAAACCAAAUUUAAAAUUAAAUUAGAGUUGAUUAU
This 654-nucleotide long non-coding RNA is filed under the name Oryza sativa Indica Group (long-grained rice). RNAcentral's name for it is "lncRNA OsMH63_03G011310". Lineage: Eukaryota; Viridiplantae; Streptophyta; Magnoliopsida; Poales; Poaceae. The record is from RNAcentral.